RNAcentral lists this small RNA (1212 nucleotides) under Pan troglodytes (chimpanzee). RNAcentral's name for it is "retained intron". The record is from RNAcentral. Lineage: Eukaryota; Metazoa; Chordata; Mammalia; Primates; Hominidae.
CUGUUUAUUCUGGAGCAGCAGCAGUUGACAGACGGAGAGGCAGUGACUCUGCACCCAGCAAUCCCUCUGCAGACAGCUCCCACAGGAGUCAUGCCCAGCUCUGGGCAUCAUCAGCGGCCCCAGGGAAAAAGAAAGAAAUGGGAAACAGCAUGAAAUCCACCCCUGCGCCUGCCGAGAGGCCCCUGCCCAACCCGGAGGGACUGGAUAGCGACUUCCUUGCCGUGCUAAGUGACUACCCGUCUCCUGACAUUAGCCCCCCGAUAUUCCGCCGAGGGGAGAAACUGCGUGUGAUUUCUGAUGAAGGGGGCUGGUGGAAAGCUAUUUCUCUUAGCACUGGUCGUGAGAGUUACAUCCCUGGAAUAUGUGUGGCCAGAGUUUACCAUGGCUGGCUGUUUGAGGGCCUGGGCAGAGACAAGGCCGAGGAGCUGCUGCAGCUGCCAGACACAAAGGUCGGCUCCUUCAUGAUCAGAGAGAGUGAGACCAAGAAAGGUGAGUGGCCCCUAACUCAUCUUUCCCCGUCCGGGGCAGACAAGCAUGUUUUGCUCCUGGCUGACUCAUUACAUGGCUUCAUUUUCCUUCCUCCUACGUCCAUGCAAAUUGAUCCAAUGUAGUUAAGCUCCCUGCAGCCCACACGCUGCUGGGGAGGCCAGUGGGGAAGCAAGGGGACUAGAGACAGGCAGUGGGGAGCCGGCUGGGCACUGCCACGGGCCUGGCCAACAUCAGGCCUGAUGACUCCUGCUGGAAAUUUUUCCAGCAACUGAGAACAAAACUGAACGCAGUGUGUAGGCAGCAUGCUGUGCAGAUAGAAUGUGGCCUUUGGUAUGGGCCUGGGCUGUGCUCUCAAUCUCUGUGACUGAUUUGUCUGAACUCAGUUUUCUCAUCUGUGAAAUGGAGAGAACACCUCUCCCUUGUAAGGGUGUGGUGAGAUUCAAAUGUCAUAAUAUUUGUGUUGCUCUUGCUGCACAGACAGUCCCGAUAUCAGUUUCCUCUGUGCUCCGUAACUAAAUCAGACAGCUCAGAGAAUCACAUGUGUCCUCUCACACAGUCACCGUCAUCACUAGCAUUACAAUUUCCUUGCAUCAUAUGCAUUAAGUACCACAGUAAAAACACAAAUAGAGUGAGCUCUUUGUCAUGAUUCAAAGCAAGGGUCCCAAGUUCCAAUUUUAGCCUUACAAAUUACCAAGUUACUGCUUCUCUCUCUAAGCCUCAGCU